This 428-nucleotide unclassified non-coding RNA is filed under the name Hevea brasiliensis (rubber tree). Lineage: Eukaryota; Viridiplantae; Streptophyta; Magnoliopsida; Malpighiales; Euphorbiaceae. The record is from RNAcentral.
GAACAUGUAUUGCUGGGCCUCGGAUGGAAGAUGGGAAUAAAUGUGUAUGGUGGAUGAUUGAUCUUGGUCAAGAUCACCAGGUUUGCUUCUACUCUUGGUUUGUUUAGCAACAAAUCUUUUGGUUUAUCAUCUACAAUAUUUCUUAAAUGGUAAUAUUGUACUUCUAAGUUUUGUCUAUUGUCUACAUGUUUACAUGAAACAGAAGAAAUCUGAUAUGCAAUCUUAAGAUAACUUUUUUCCUCUUUUGGGCCAGGCAGUUGUAAAAUGCUUGUGUUAGUGUAACUCUGCUUUUGAUGACUAAAGCACCAAACACUCCUCUUACUCUUCCCCUAUCUAAUGAUUAUAUGAGAAAAUAAUAAUGAUUCUCUCUUUUAUCCUGACGGAAUAUCAUAAUCUUCCUUUCAUAUAAAUCACUCAUGUUGCAUAUA